RNAcentral lists this ribosomal RNA (795 nucleotides) under uncultured bacterium. RNAcentral describes it as "bacterial SSU rRNA". It matches the Rfam family "Bacterial small subunit ribosomal RNA", at positions 56 to 853 of the family's 1533-position model. The record is from RNAcentral.
UGCAAGUCGAGGGGUAGAGUUAGCUUGCUAGCUUGAGACCGGCGCACGGGUGCGUAACGCGUAUGCAACCUACCUUAAUCAGGGGGAUAGCCCGAAGAAAUUCGGAUUAACACCGCAUAAAAUCACAGAAUAGCAUUAUUCAAUGAUCAAAUAUUUAUAGGAUUAAGAUGGGCAUGCGUGUCAUUAGCUAGUUGGCGGGGUAACGGCCCACCAAGGCGACGAUGACUAGGGGAUCUGAGAGGAUGACCCCCCACACUGGUACUGAGACACGGACCAGACUCCUACGGGAGGCAGCAGUAAGGAAUAUUGGUCAAUGGAGGCAACUCUGAACCAGCCAUGCCGCGUGCAGGAAGACUGCCCUAUGGGUUGUAAACUGCUUUUAUCUGGGAAUAAACCUAUUUACGUGUAGAUAGCUGAAUGUACCAGAAGAAUAAGGAUCGGCUAACUCCGUGCCAGCAGCCGCGGUAAUACGGAGGAUCCAAGCGUUAUCCGGAUUUAUUGGGUUUAAAGGGUGCGUAGGCGGCCUGUUAAGUCAGAGGUGAAAGACGGUAGCUCAACUAUCGCAGUGCCUUUGAUACUGAUGGGCUUGAAUGGACUAGAGGUAGGCGGAAUGAGACAAGUAGCGGUGAAAUGCAUAGAUAUGUCUCAGAACACCGAUUGCGAAGGCAGCUUACUAUGGUUUUAUUGACGCUGAGGCACGAAAGCGUGGGGAUCAAACAGGAUUAGAUACCCUGGUAGUCCACGCCCUAAACGAUGAACACUCGCUGUUGGUGAUACACAGUCAGCGGCUAAGCG